RNAcentral lists this long non-coding RNA (684 nucleotides) under Hordeum vulgare. RNAcentral's name for it is "long non-coding RNA (HVUL_LNC002799)". Lineage: Eukaryota; Viridiplantae; Streptophyta; Magnoliopsida; Poales; Poaceae. The record is from RNAcentral.
UCCAUUACAACCAGCCUAAGUCAUGAUGAAUUGGGUUAACUGCGCUCGGAAGGCCACUUAACAUGGAAUGUCCAUAAACCAUGGCCAUAGAGGCAAGAUCGACUGCAUUGCCCCUUGGGCCAUUUUCUUGUAUUGUGCCAAGUAGAAACUAGUCAAUUGAUCAUAAAGCCACAUUCUCUAAAAAAGGCUUGAACUUGUUUGUCGCCCUUUUGCACAGGUUGCAGGAACUGCCCAGGGGCGACCGCUUGACAGUGCUUAGUGCAACAACAGGUCGUUAUGAAGGGGAAGAAGCCGCAGUAGCCCUCCUCAAACCCUUCUUCCUUGCAUGGCUUAUUGCAGGUUCCGGUCUUGCCGCACAGCUGCCACCCGGGUCAUGUUUUGCUGGUGGCGCCUCAGAUUUUGUUUCCCGCUGCAUUCCAUGGCCAAUAGUCGUGAUUAACCCAAAAAUUAUUCUAUCAAAAUUGAAAGAAAGGAAGAAAAGGUAAAUAAAUUAUUGCGUACGUGGAUCCCGGGGAACUGAGGCGGGGAUGUCCUUUGCACAAUCAGUCACGGUGAUGGUCAGCGGACACACUAUCAGGAUUAGCAAUAAGCUUUUCUUCAUCGUUGACCUUGCUCCCAUAGCCAUGGCCAUGCCCAUGGUCGACGAUCAAACUCUUCUGGAUCUGUUUAGGGUCUCCUCCCCAC